UUAAGUUAAUAAGGGCGCACGGUGGAUGCCUUGGCACUAGAAGCCGAUGAAGGACGUGACUAACGACGAAAUGCUUUGGGGAGUUGUAAGUAAACAUUGAUCCAGAGAUGUCCGAAUGGGGGAACCCGGCAUGUGAAGCAUGUCACUCAUUACUGUUAAGGUAAUGAAGAGGAAGACGCAGUGAACUGAAACAUCUAAGUAGCUGCAGGAAGAGAAAGCAAACGCGAUUGCCUUAGUAGCGGCGAGCGAAACGGCAAGAGGGCAAACCGAUGUGUUUACACAUCGGGGUUGUAGGACUGCGUUGUGGGACGCAAGAUUAUAGAAGAAUUACCUGGGAAGGUAAGCCAAAGAGAGUAAUAGCCUCGUAAUCGAAAUAAUCUUAAACCCUAGCAGUAUCCUGAGUACGGCGAGACACGAGAAAUCUCGUCGGAAUCCGGGAGGACCAUCUCCCAACCCUAAAUACUCUCUAGUGACCGAUAGUGAACCAGUACCGUGAGGGAAAGGUGAAAAGCACCCCGGGAGGGGAGUGAAAUAGAACCUGAAACCGUGUGCCUACAACAAGUUCGAGCCCGUUAAUGGGUGAGAGCGUGCCUUUUGUAGAAUGAACCGGCGAGUUACGAUAUGAUGCGAGGUUAAGUUGAAGAGACGGAGCCGUAGGGAAACCGAGUCUUAAUAGGGCGCUUUAGUAUCAUGUCGUAGACCCGAAACCAUGUGACCUACCCAUGAGCAGGGUGAAGGUGAGGUAAAACUCACUGGAGGCCCGAACCAGGGCACGUUGAAAAGUGCUUGGAUGACUUGUGGGUAGCGGAGAAAUUCCAAACGAACUUGGAGAUAGCUGGUUCUCUCCGAAAUAGCUUUAGGGCUAGCGUCGAUGUUAAGUCUCUUGGAGGUAGAGCACUGUUUGAUUGAGGGGUCCAUCCCGGAUUACCAAUAUCAGAUAAACUCCGAAUGCCAAUGAGAUAUAAUCGGCAGUCAGACUGCGAGUGCUAAGAUCCGUAGUCGAAAGGGAAACAGCCCAGACCACCAGCUAAGGUCCCAAAAUAUAUGUUAAGUGGAAAAGGAUGUGGGGUUGCACAGACAACUAGGAUGUUAGCUUAGAAGCAGCUAUUCAUUCAAAGAGUGCGUAAUAGCUCACUAGUCGAGUGACCCUGCGCCGAAAAUGUACCGGGGCUAAAACAUAUUACCGAAGCUGUGGAUACCUAUUAUAGGUAUGGUAGGAGAGCGUUCUAUGUGUGAAGAAGGUGUACCGUGAGGAGCGCUGGAACGCAUAGAAGUGAGAAUGCCGGUAUGAGUAGCGAAAGACAGGUGAGAAUCCUGUCCACCGUAAGACUAAGGUUUCCAGGGGAAGGCUCGUCCGCCCUGGGUUAGUCGGGACCUAAGGAGAGACCGAAAGGUGUAUCCGAUGGCCAACAGGUUGAUAUUCCUGUACUAGAGUAUAUAGUGAAGGAGGGACGCAGUAGGCUAACUAAAGCGUGCGAUUGGAAGAGCACGUCUAAGCAGUGAGGUGUGAUAUGAGUCAAAUGCUUGUAUCUCUAACAUUGAGCUGUGAUGGGGAGCGAAGUUAAGUAGCGAAGUUAGUGAUGUCACACUGCCAAGAAAAGCUUCUAGCGUUAAUUAUACUCUACCCGUACCGCAAACCGACACAGGUAGUCGAGGCGAGUAGCCUCAGGUGAGCGAGAGAACUCUCGUUAAGGAACUCGGCAAAAUGGCCCCGUAACUUCGGGAGAAGGGGCGCUGGCUUUAAGUCAGCCGCAGUGAAUAGGCCCAAGCAACUGUUUAUCAAAAACACAGCUCUCUGCUAAAUCGUAAGAUGAUGUAUAGGGGGUGACGCCUGCCCGGUGCUGGAAGGUUAAGAGGAGCGCUUAGCGUAAGCGAAGGUGUGAAUUGAAGCCCCAGUAAACGGCGGCCGUAACUAUAACGGUCCUAAGGUAGCGAAAUUCCUUGUCGGGUAAGUUCC
RNAcentral lists this ribosomal RNA (1957 nucleotides) under human gut metagenome. RNAcentral's name for it is "bacterial LSU rRNA". It matches the Rfam family "Bacterial large subunit ribosomal RNA", at positions 3 to 1984 of the family's 2925-position model. The record is from RNAcentral.